GGUGUCUCGGCUAAUGUGUCUUGGCUAAGGUGUCUUGGCUAAUGUGUCUUGGCUAAUGUGUCUUGGCUAAGGUGUCUUGGCUAAGGUGUCUUGGCUAAGGUGUCUUGGCUAAUGUGUCUUGGCUAAGGUGUCUUGGCUAAGGUGUCUUGGCUAAGGUGUCUUGGCUAAGGUGUCUUGGCUAAGGUGUCUUGGCUAAUGUGUCUCGGCUAAUGUGUCUUGGCUAAUGUGUCUUGGCUAAGGUGUCUUGGCUAAGGUGUCUUGGCUAAUGUGUCUUGGCUAAGGUGUCUUGGCUAAGGUGUCUUGGCUAAUGUGUCUUGGCUAAUGUGUCUUGGCUAAUGUGUCUUGGCUAAUGUGUCUUGGCUAAUGUGUCUUGGCUAAGGUGUUUUGGCUAAUGUGUCUUGGCUAAGGUGUCUUGGCUAAUGUGUCUUGGCUAAUGUGUCUUGGCUAAUGUGUCUUGGCUAAGGUGUCUUGGCUAAUGUGUCUUGGCUAAUGUGUCUUGGCUAAUGUGUCUUGGCUAAGGUGUCUUGGCUAAUGUGUCUCGGCUAAGGUGUCUUGGCUAAGGUGUCUUGGCUAAGGUGUCUUGGCUAAUGUGUCUUGGCUAAGGUGUCUCGGCUAAUGUGUCUUGGCUAAGGUGUCUUGGCUAAGGUGUCUUGGCUAAUGUGUCUUGGCUAAGGUGUCUUGGCUAAUGUGUCUUGGCUAAGGUGUCUUGGCUAAUGUGUCUUGGCUAAUGUGUCUUGGCUAUUGUGUCUUGGCUAAGGUGUCUUGGCUAAGGUGUCUUGGCUAAUGUGUCUUGGCUAAUGUGUGUCGGCUAAUGUGUCUUGGCUAAUGUGUCUUGGCUAAGGUGUCUUGGCUAAGGUGUCUUGGCUAAUGUGUCUUGUCUAAUGUGUCUUGGCUAAUGUGUCUUGGCUAAUGUGUCUUGGCUAAGGUGUCUUGGCUAAGGUGUCUUGGCUCAUGUGUCUUGGCUAAAGUGUCUUGGCUAAGGUGUCUUGGCUAAGGUGUCUUGGCUAAGGUGUCUUGGCUAAGGUGUCUUGGCUAAGGUGUCUUGGCUAAUGUGUCUCGGCUAAGGUGUCUUGGCUAAUGUGUCUUGGCUAAGGUGUCUUGGCUAAGGUGUCUUGGCUAAGGUGUCUUGGCUAAGGUGUCUUGGCUAAUGUGUCUCGGCUAAAGUGUCUUGGCUGAGGUGUCUUGGCUAAGGUGUCUUGGCUAAGGUGUCUUGGCUAAGGUGUCUUGGCUAAGGUGUCUUGGCUAAUGUGUCUCGGCUAAAGUGUCUUGGCUGAGGUGUCUUGGCUAAGGUGUCUUGGCUAAUGUGUCUUGGCUAAUGUGUCUUGGCUAAAGUGUCUUGGCUAAAGUGUCUUGGCUAAGGUGUCUUGGCUAAUGUGUCUUGGCUAAGGUGUCUUGGCUAAGGUGUCUUGGCUAAGGUGUCUUGGCUAAUGUGUCUCGGCUAAGGUGUCUUUGCUAUUGUGUCUUGUCUAAGGUGUCUUGGCUAAGGUGUCUUGGCUAAGGUGUCUUGGCUAAGGUGUCUUGGCUUAUGUGCCUCGGCUAAUGUGUCUUGGCUAAUGUGUCUUGGCUAAGGUGUCUUGGCUAAGGUGUCUUGGCUAAGGUGUCUUGGCUAAGGUGUCUUGGCUAAUGUGUCUCGGCUUAAGUGUCUUGGCUAAGGUGUCUUGGCUAAGGUGUCUUGGCCAAGGUGUCUUGACUAAGGUGUCUUGGCUAAUGUAACUCGGCUAAUGUGUCUUGGCUAAUGUGUCUUGGCUAAGGUGUCUUGGCUAAGGUGUCUUGGCUAAUGUGUCUCGGCUAAGGUGUCUUGGCUAAGGUGUCUUGGCUAAGGUGUCUUGGCUAAUGUGUCUUGGCUAAGGUGUCUUGGCUAAGGUGUCUUGGCUAAGGUGUCUUGGCUAAUGUGUCUUGGCUAAUGUGUCUCGGCUAAGGUGUCUUGGCUAAGGUGUCAUGGCUAAUGUGUCUUGGCUAAGGUGUCUUGGCUAAGGUGUCUUGGCUAAUGUGUCUUGGGUAAUGUGUCUUGGCUAAUGUGUCUUGGCUAAUGUGUCUCGGCUAAAGUGUCUUGGCUAAUGUGUCUUGGCUAAUGUGUCUUGGCUAAUGUGUCUUGGCGAAGGUGUCUUGGCUAAGGUGUCUUGGCUAAGGUGUCUUGGCUAAUGUGUCUUGGCUAAAGUGUCUUGGCUAAUGUGUCUUGGCUAAUGUGUCUUGGCUUAUGUGUCUUGGCUAAUGUGUCUUGGCUAAGGUGUCUUGGCUAAGGUGUCUUGGCUUAGGUGUCUUGGCUAAGGUGUCUUGGCUAAGGUGUCUUGGCUAAUGUGUCUCGGCUAAAGUGUCUUGGCUAAGGUGUCUUGGCUAAGGUGUCUUGGCUAAGGUGUCUUGGCUAAGGUGUCUUGGCUAAUGUGUCUCGGCUAAAGUGUCUUGGCUAAGGUGUCUUGGCUAAGGUGUCUUGGCUAAGGUGUCUUGGCUAAGGUGUCUUGGCUAAGGUGUCUUGGCUAUUGUGUCUUGGCUAAGGUGUCUUGGCUAAGGUGUCUUGGCUAAUGUGUCUUGGCUAAGGUGUCUUGGCUAAUGUGUCUUGGCUAAGGUGUCUUGGCUAAGGUGUCUUGGCUUAUAUGUCUUGGCUAAGGUGUCUUGGCUAAGGUGUCUUGGCUAAUGUGUCUCGGCUAAGGUGUCUUGGCUAAAGUGUCUUGGCUAAUGUGUCUUGGCUAAGGUGUCUUGGCUAAUGUGUCUUGGCUAAGGUGUCUUGGCUAAGGUGUCUUGGCUAAGGUGUCUUGGCUUAAGUGUCUUGGCUAAUGUGUCUUGGCU
This is a long non-coding RNA of Anopheles funestus (African malaria mosquito), 2784 nucleotides long. RefSeq lists it as uncharacterized. The record is from RefSeq and is a predicted model, not a curated record. NCBI's taxonomy places the organism in Eukaryota, Metazoa, Arthropoda, Insecta, Diptera, Culicidae. The transcript has 8 exons.